Syngnathoides biaculeatus (alligator pipefish) is the source of this 513-nucleotide long non-coding RNA. RefSeq lists it as uncharacterized. The record is from RefSeq and is a predicted model, not a curated record. NCBI's taxonomy places the organism in Eukaryota, Metazoa, Chordata, Actinopteri, Syngnathiformes, Syngnathidae. The transcript is spliced from 3 exons.
GUGGGCUCCCGUUUUCGAGCGUCCACUUUUACAUUUGCCAUAAUUGAUCAGAUUGUUGCUGUUUGCAGUCUCAACAUACUCUAUGUAUUGCAGUAAUGUGACAUAUUGGACACAUUCGAGGGGUUGCGGUCAGGAAAGGAAGUCAACCUCGUUUUCGAGGGCGCGCUUGAUGUUCAUUCUUUGGCCAUCUGUGCGCCUCGACAGCCAGCUCUUGAGCACAGCCUCCGCCUCCGCCUCGCCUCCUCUCGUGUCCCGCGUUACGAUCCUCCGAGGGGGGCGGGGAGACGUCGCCACAGUCCCGAGAAAGAGUUGCCCGAGACUGUCGAGAGUCGAGCCUCCGCGCGGAGGACACUUUGGGGCUCCCAUGCUCGUCUCGCGGCCCCCGCGUUCGACGACGACGAGGAAGAGGAGGCAGGCGGUGAUGUUCAGGCGACCCGCCGGGGAGGAGGUCGGACGUGUGCCGCUUACUUUCCUCCAGUAGGCUUGCGGAGAUUUCCCCCCCCCCCCCCACCC